Molecule: transfer RNA, 88 nt
Filed under: Erysipelothrix sp.
Lineage: Bacteria; Bacillati; Bacillota; Erysipelotrichia; Erysipelotrichales; Erysipelotrichaceae
Description: tRNA-Ser
Rfam family: tRNA
About the family: Transfer RNA (tRNA) molecules are approximately 80 nucleotides in length. Their secondary structure includes four short double-helical elements and three loops (D, anti-codon, and T loops).
Source: RNAcentral
GGAGAAUUGGCCGAGUGGUUGAAGGCACUGUCUUGGAAAGGCAGCGAAGUGAAUGCUUCCGAGAGUUCGAAUCUCUCAUUCUCCGCCA